This is a long non-coding RNA of Brachypodium distachyon (stiff brome), 4558 nucleotides long. RefSeq lists it as uncharacterized. The record is from RefSeq and is a predicted model, not a curated record. Lineage: Eukaryota; Viridiplantae; Streptophyta; Magnoliopsida; Poales; Poaceae. The transcript has 3 exons.
AGAAACCGAACGGGAUGGCAUCCCAGGCUGACGUGGACACGCCCAGAGCGCGAGAAUACUCCCCCCUUUCAUAGGGGUGAAAAGGGAAAGGGAGAUCUCUAGUGUUGUGCUAAGGAAGGUUGGACAGCUGUUCCCGGAUCUUUGCAAAAGGAAGGUUUUGACGAUCUAUGUGGUGCUUCUGAGAAAAGCAGUACAGGGUUCUAAAUUCAUUUUAGUGUCACCAUACAAGUCAUUUGUAUCGGAGGUGCCCAGCAUUCCUCAGUGGUAACAACCUAUCACCCCUAGCCUCUUGAAUGAUUGUUGCCUGCAUUGUUUUUUCUUUCUUUUUGGUUGUGCAAUUGUUGUCUUAUUCCUGAAGUAAAACACUUGUAGAGAUAUGUUUCAAAUAGUUAACAAAAAUAAAGGGUGUUAUAGUUAAAAACCAGAUGGAUAAAGUACUUUAGUAGUGAUCAAUAAGUUAAUUGAGUGUCCAACCAAUGUGACAAGUGGCAGUUACGCUAUAAUAUUAGAUUGAUGACUGGAGCAAACUGUUUAAUUGGUCAUCUGUUUCGUCAGGUAAUGUUAGGACAUUGAUGAAUCUUUAGCAAAUGCAGGUCAAGAGAAACAUCAGAAUUUUUGUAUGAAAAAUCAAAGUAGCAAGGCAGCUUGUCUAUCCAGACAGACAAAUGUAACUCAUCCACCAUUUCACAUGCAAUCGCAUUGCAAAACAGGACGGUUUUACACAGUUCAGGUCACAAACAAGUCCCUGCACUUCCUGUGGCAAAUGGGCAGGCUUUUACAAAGCUGAAGAUUAAGGGUGGCAGGCUGCACCCAAAAACUCACCACCUACUGCUACUGAACCACAAAAAACAACCUUGGAAUGUCACAUGUUAAUAGCUAUGAAUAUUAGCUCUUAAUUUUAACUUCCUGUGUAACUUGUCCACCCUAGAAAACCCUCACGGUAUGCUUUUUAACAAGAGAAAAUAUUUAAGAGUAUCUACUCUUUCAGAAUGCAUAAAAAAUCUGCUGUUUUCCGAACCUCUUGCAUGUGAAAUGCCUGACAAUAUGUGAUGUUUUCUAUUGGGCCUAUUCUACUUUUUGUUGUGCUAUCCAAAUCUGCUAUUUGUCAUUAUUGACCCCUGAUGUUCCUUUAUAAAUAAAAAAAUUCUGCUCGUGCAUGCGCUGCACCCAUAUGUGAAUAUUUGCAUCUAUUAAACACUAAAAUAGGAAUGCAUGCUUUUGAAAUCAGGUUUAUCUUUUAAAUUAACUAGCUGAAAUGCCCGUGCGUUGCAACGGAACAACAAAAUCAAAUGAUACAUUAAAAAACAUGCAUCAAAACCUCUCUUGCUCUUCUUUAACGAUCAACAAAUAUCCCUUAAAAAAGCCCAUGGGUAUACCGAUGGCUCGCCCGAUUAGUCAUGGGUAGGGUAUGGGUAUAAGUUUAUACCCAUGGAUACCCGAUGGGUCGCCCAGUUUAUAUUUUAAUUAAAUAAUAUUACUUUUAUUAUAUAAUAUGUGGACUCUUUGAUUAUUUUUAGCAAAAUGUGGACUCUUUGAUGCAAUAAGGACUAACGGAUGAACUCUACUAUAAAAUAAAAUAAAGAACAAGUUCAAAAUUGGCCCAAUAUCCCAUAACUCGAUGACCCAUCAACUUGGCUUGUUUGGGCAUCUCUCUCGCUCAGUCAGGCUCACAGAAGAAAGGCAUCGAGACGCCUUCUCCCAUCCCCCAUUCUACACUCAGCCAUCAUCUCUCGUUCUCUCUACUAUGCCCUAGGCACCGCCACCAUUAUCCCCCGCAGCCUGUCUCAUCAGCUUCUUCUAACUAUCGCCAUCUACUCAUGUAAUUUAGCCCUAGGAGGAGACGGCCGUGGCUGGGAAACGGAAGAGGGGACCAUCCAUGGCCGCACCUGAGGAACAGAGGGAACAGCCGUGGCUUCGAUGGGUGCCCGAUUGGGUCUCAUCUUCUGGCUCCUGUAGUGUUUUGGCGAAGCGAUCUUUUUCUCGUCAGAUUCGGAGUUAUUGCCCGACUCUCGUAACGAUCCCGCUGGCUAUGGAUUCCCUCGCGAAGUUCCAUCCAAUUCGGUGCAGGUAACGGGCCAGCCGGCUUAGUAGCCUAAUAUACAUGCAAUCUUGUAGGGCGGAAUUUCUUUUUGGGAAGUUUGACAGACGACGGUGAAGGGAACGGUCCGUAUUUUUUAGAUAGGUAUAGCAUAAUGCCCGUGCGCUGCCACGGUCCAGGCAAGCCAUUUUUGGGUCUUCUCUUCUUUUUCUCUUCUUUUCUUUUUUUCUUCUUGGGCCACACCCGUUCUUCCUUUUGGGCCAGCUUUCCCAAGAGCGCCAAGCCCAUGCCCGCAGGAGCACUCGUGCCCGUCUUCCUCCUCGUGCCAAAAGCAGCACACACACGUGCCGUCUGCCGCAAUCUCCGCCCUCGACGAUGCCUCCUCGGCCCGUGACCCAUCCAGGUGCUCUGAACCAUAUCCCACGGCCCUUCACUUUCUUUUCCCCUCCUCAAUCAUCCCCCAUAAUCAUGGUUGAACCGCCUUAGCGCGCGUUUUCGUAGCAGUUCCUGUUGGCCCAGAUCAACACGCCGAGGAUGAGGGCUGAUAGAAUGAACCUGUUCCCCUGUUUUCUCUGAAUUUAAAUGGUGUAUGACAAGAUGGAGUCUGCAUGCUAGAGCCGCCGGCUCUCGGAUGGAAGGAGGCACCACAUGCUAGACCAUAUGCUGCAUCGCAGGAUCAAUUUGCCGUUGCAAGGUCGAAUGUGUGAAGAGAUAUCUUUGGGUUUUUAAUUAUGUUUUCUCCGCUGCGUCAGGGGAAGUAUUUUUGUUGGAUUAGAAAGGGUCUCCUAUUGGGCUGUGCUAGGAGAGGGGAGCUCAGCCGUCUGGAGCGGAUGAAGGAGUGGUUUGCGUGCGGGCGGGCGAGGUGGGUCUCGGGGGCUUGACGAAAAAAAGGGAGGAAAUAAGACGGAACGGUCCGUAUUUUUUACUCCCUCCGAUCCUAAAUUGUUGUCGAAAUAUUACAUGUAUGUAGACACUUUUUAUGAAUAGAUACAUCCAUAUUUGGACAAAUUUGAGUCAAGAAUUUAGAAUCAGAGGGAGUACAUUGGUACAUAUAUAGAUAUAGAUAGAUUCGGUAUAGGUAAUGGGUCAGCUGGCUUAGUAGGCCUAAUAUACAUUCAAUCUUGGGGGCCCAUAAAUUUUAUGGGAUAUAUAUAAAUAAAUUCGGUGCAGGUAAUGGGCCAGCCGGUUUAGUAGGCCUAAUAUACAUGUAAUCCUGAGGGCCCACUAAUUUUAUGUGAAGUUUGACAGACGACGGUGAAAAAAACAGUUCGUAUUUUUUAGAUAGCUAUAGAUUAAGCCACUGAAAAAAUCUAUUGGCGGUUAAAUUGCUUCUAUUAAGGUUGUCAUUUGUCAAUCGACAAUCGACAAUUGUUCAGAUUGCAUUUUGUAUCAACACUGCAACUACAGUAGGCGCCUCUCCUUUUUCACGGUUUCACCAUAUCCAUUGUUUAACUCUUUAGGUUUAAGGAACACUAGAUCACUAGCAACUUCUUUUAUCUGAUCUGUAGCAUGUGUGCUAUAUUAUUUUCUCAUAAAUUUGAUAAAAAAAAUUACUAGACUCUCGGCAAUGGCAAGAAGUUCCAGGAUCGAGGAUAGACUGAUCAAGUCUAUCGUGGUUGUUGGAGAAACGAGAAGCAAUGAUUACUGCAUUGGAUUUGUUGCAUGGGAGAAAGAUAGUGAUGCCACCUUCGUGGUAACUCAGUCGUCCUUUAUUGACGGCAAAAGGGAUAGACUAAAGAUAUGUUUUUUUGACAAGGUUGACUUACCGGCCUGGGUUGAACGAAUUGAGGGGCGAUUCUGCAUGCUGAGAACAGAGCACCAUCGCUUCUGCAAGAGAGUUCAGUGGGCAGAAGAUCGUAUCAAUUCCUUGUCUGAGGCUAUUAUCUUUCUGCCCUCCUCACCAAGCACUCUCUCUUCGAUUCAUAUACCUGUCACUCUUGAGUCAGCAGAGUCGUAUCACUCUUGUCCCACAGACUUUGUUGAUGGUUCUGAUAAUUUGUUUCUGGUAGCAUGUCCUUAUACGGAGAAGACCUUUGAAGGAUACAAUAGGUUAAUAGCUGCUCCCAUCUUUGAUUUGGAUGAGAGAUCAUUAGGCAUGGGCAUUUUUGACUGCCGUCGUGGUAACGGUGCUGAGAUGAAGGUUUGUUUAUGGGCAAGGGGGGUCAUGGCUCUAAUAAACAGACUCAUUCCACCACCACCACCACCGAAAGCAAAGAGGAAAGGAGCAGAAGAUGGUUCGAAAGAUAAGAAGAAGCGCAAAAAAUGAGUUGCUUUUAGCAUCUCUACAUGAUAAGAAGUAUGAAACCUCGUCUCCUUCAAAUGAGGUUUCUUAGAUCUACCAUUACGUACCGGAUCUUCAUCGAGUUAAUCUUUCUCUGUACCAAGCUCUUGUUUUAAUUAUGUUCACUGAACAAUGUAAUAUUCUGGCAUGUGAGAACAUUUGUGUAAUAUGUAUUUGCAAUGGUGGUGUUUAUAAUUGGGCAUGUGCACUUUCUAUGUGCAGCUACGCUAGCUAUUUCA